GGAAACCCUGAUGCAGCAACGCCGCGUGGAUGAUGAAGGCCUUCGGGUCGUAAAAUCCUUUUCAACGGGAAGAUACGGACGGUACCGUUGGAAUAAGCUUCGGCUAACUACGUGCCAGCAGCCGCGGUAAUACGUAGGAAGCGAGCGUUAUCCGGAUUUACUGGGCGUAAAGAGCGCGUAGGUGGUCUUAUAAGUUGGGCGUGAAAGCCCCCGGCUUAACUGGGGAGGGUCGCUCAAUACUGUAGGACUUGAGGGUGGAAGAGGAGACUGGAAUUCCCGGUGUAGUGGUGAAAUGCGUAGAUAUCGGGAGGAACACCUGUGGCGAAGGCGAGUCUCUAGGCCACUCCUGACACUGAGGCGCGAAAGCGUGGGGAGCGAACGGAAUUAGAUACUCCGGUAGUCCACGCCCUAAACGAUGGACACUAGGUGUGGUGGGUAUCGACCCCUGCCGUGUCGUAGUCAACACAAUAAGUGUCCCGCCUGGGGACUA
RNAcentral lists this ribosomal RNA (490 nucleotides) under uncultured bacterium. RNAcentral's name for it is "bacterial SSU rRNA". It matches the Rfam family "Bacterial small subunit ribosomal RNA", at positions 376 to 882 of the family's 1533-position model. The record is from RNAcentral.